AACGAGUAGUACAUAACAAGUAUCUGAGGUGGGUGACCGAUAGCCAAGACAGGUAGUUCAGGUUUGAGCAAAUCAACUGAGAUGGCACACGAAGAAUGCGCAUAAACGGAUUUUGGUUAGUAUUAAGAGGUCUAAAAGGAGUGGAUAAUGAAGCAAUAUGAAGGCGACGCGUAGUAUUCCUACAUGGUUGGAUGGAUGGGUGGCAAGAAUGUGAAUGAUAGUGAGGCUAAUGGCAUGGGGAAAGAAGAGUGAAAGGGGUAAUAGAGAGUAGAGGCAGCUACGUAUUGGCUUGAGGAAAGUCAGCGGUCAGUGUGCUGUCAACUCACGGACUGACUACGGUACUUCAAUGAACGCGGUAAAAAAGG
This 365-nucleotide small RNA is filed under the name Cryptococcus neoformans H99. Its description in RNAcentral is "Cryptococcus neoformans var. grubii H99 hypothetical RNA". The record is from RNAcentral. Lineage: Eukaryota; Fungi; Basidiomycota; Tremellomycetes; Tremellales; Cryptococcaceae.